Molecule: ribosomal RNA, 171 nt
Filed under: Blautia celeris
Lineage: Bacteria; Bacillati; Bacillota; Clostridia; Lachnospirales; Lachnospiraceae
Description: partial 23S ribosomal RNA
Rfam family: Bacterial large subunit ribosomal RNA
Source: RNAcentral
GGAAGGGAUAAACGCUGAAGGCAUCUAAGCGUGAAGCCCCCCUCAAGAUGAGAUAUCCCAUUCUUUAAAGAAGUAAGACCCCUUGAAGACGACGAGGUAGAUAGGGCAGAGGUGGAAGUGCAGCAAUGUAUGGAGCUGACUGCUACUAAUCGGUCGAGGGCUUGACCUGAG